AAGUUUGACAUCCCGAAACUAGACGAGCUACCUUAAAACAGCUAUAGAGCUAACUCAUCCCUGUUGCAAAAUGGUGAGAAGAUUUUAAAGUAGAGGUGAUAUGCCUACCGAGCCUAGAGAUAGCUGGUUAUUCAAAAAAUGGAUUUAAGUCCACCUUUAAGUUUCUUCAGUUUACUAAACAAUUACUAAACUUAAAAGCCAUUCAAAUAAGGUACAGCCUGUUUGAACAAGGAAACAACCUACAAUAUAGGGUAACUACCACUAAUGUGGCCAAGUAGGCCUAAAAGCAGCCACCUCCAAAAAGCGUCUAAGCUUCCCCACUAACUAUACUUAAUCCCACUAUUAACCCACAACCCCUACUCCCCACUGAAUGACCCC
This 378-nucleotide ribosomal RNA is filed under the name Stumpffia sp. 25 MV-2009. Its description in RNAcentral is "partial 16S ribosomal RNA". It matches the Rfam family "Bacterial large subunit ribosomal RNA", at positions 703 to 1219 of the family's 2925-position model. Lineage: Eukaryota; Metazoa; Chordata; Amphibia; Anura; Microhylidae. The record is from RNAcentral.